UUCUUGGGGUACUCUCUUGGUCCGAAAAUGGUG
Molecule: small RNA, 33 nt
Filed under: Arabidopsis thaliana (thale cress)
Lineage: Eukaryota; Viridiplantae; Streptophyta; Magnoliopsida; Brassicales; Brassicaceae
Description: ATSL229820
Source: RNAcentral